Molecule: ribosomal RNA, 253 nt
Filed under: uncultured bacterium
Lineage: Bacteria
Description: partial 16S ribosomal RNA
Rfam family: Bacterial small subunit ribosomal RNA
Source: RNAcentral
UACGGGGGGGGCAAGCGUUGUUCGGAAUUACUGGGCGUAAAGGGCGCGUAGGCGGCUCGCUAAGUUGGAUGUGAAAACUCUGGGCUUAACCCAGAGCCUGCAUUCAAAACUGACGGGCUGGAGUUCUGGGGGGGAUAGCGGAAUUCCUGGUGUAGCGGUGAAAUGCGUAGAUAUCAGGAGGAACACCGGUGGCGAAGGCGGCUAUCUGGACAGAAACUGACGCUGAGGCGCGAAAGCUAGGGGAGCAAACAGG